This 253-nucleotide ribosomal RNA is filed under the name uncultured bacterium. Its description in RNAcentral is "partial 16S ribosomal RNA". It matches the Rfam family "Bacterial small subunit ribosomal RNA", at positions 524 to 776 of the family's 1533-position model. The record is from RNAcentral.
UACCGAAGGUGCGAGCGUUAAUCGGAAUUACUGGGCGUAAAGCGUGCGUAGGCGGACGUGUAAGGCGGGGGUGAAAGCCCCGGGCUCAACCUGGGAAUUGCAUUCGAGACUGCACGGCUGGAGUGCGGAAGAGGGAAGCGGAAUUUCCGGUGUAGCGGUGAAAUGCGUAGAUAUCGGAAGGAACAUCAGUGGCGAAAGCGGCUUCCUGGUCCAGCACUGACGAUCAGGCACGAAAGCGUGGGGAGCAAACAGG